UACGUAGGGUGCGAGCGUUAAUCGGAAUUACUGGGCGUAAAGCGUGCGCAGGCGGUUUGUUAAGACAGAUGUGAAAUCCCCGGGCUUAACCUGGGAACUGCAUUUGUGACUGGCAAGCUAGAGUAUGGCAGAGGGGGGUAGAAUUCCACGUGUAGCAGUGAAAUGUGUAGAGAUGUGGAGGAAUACCGAUGGCGAAGGCAGCCCCCUGGGCCAAUACUGACGCUCAUGCACGAAAGCGUGGGGAGCAAACAGG
Molecule: ribosomal RNA, 253 nt
Filed under: uncultured bacterium
Lineage: Bacteria
Description: partial 16S ribosomal RNA
Rfam family: Bacterial small subunit ribosomal RNA
Source: RNAcentral